GCUCGUCUAGCUCGACCGGUAGAGCUGAAGGCUCUUAACCUUGAGGUGUGGGUUCAAGCCCCACCAUGGGCG
RNAcentral lists this transfer RNA (72 nucleotides) under Zea mays. It matches the Rfam family "tRNA". Rfam says of the family: Transfer RNA (tRNA) molecules are approximately 80 nucleotides in length. Their secondary structure includes four short double-helical elements and three loops (D, anti-codon, and T loops). Further hydrogen bonds mediate the characteristic L-shaped molecular structure. tRNAs have two regions of fundamental functional importance: the anti-codon, which is responsible for specific mRNA codon recognition, and the 3' end, to which the tRNAs corresponding amino acid is attached (by aminoacyl-tRNA synthetases). tRNAs cope with the degeneracy of the genetic code in two manners: having more than one tRNA (with a specific anti-codon) for a particular amino acid; and 'wobble' base-pairing, i.e. permitting non-standard base-pairing at the 3rd anti-codon position. The record is from Rfam by way of RNAcentral. Lineage: Eukaryota; Viridiplantae; Streptophyta; Magnoliopsida; Poales; Poaceae.